GGGGUAACAGGGGGGGCACCCUGACGGAGCACGCCGCGUGCAGGAGGACGCUUUUCGGAGUGUAAACUGCUUUUCUCGAGGAAGAAAUCGGACGGUACUCGAGGAAGAAGCCCCGGCUAACUACGUGCCAGCAGCCGCGGUAAUACGUAGGGGGCGAGCGUUGUCCGGAGUUACUGGGCGUAAAGGGCGUGUAGGCGGUCUUCCGCGUGUUUCUGGACAGCCGUCGGCUUAACUGACGGAGCGAGGAGCAGACGGGGAGACUGGAGGGCCACAGAGGAACUGGGAAGUCCGGGUGGAGCGGUGAAAUGCGUAGAGACCCGGAGGAACACCAAAGGCGAAGGCAAGGUUCUGGGUGGCACCUGACGCUGAGGCGCGAAAGCCAGGGGAGCGAACGGGAUUAGAUACCCCGGUAGUCCUGGCCGUAAACGAUGACCACUAGGUGUAGGAGGUAUCGACCCCUUCUGUGCCGGAGCAAACGUGAUAAGUGGUCCGCCUGGGGAGUACGGUCGCAAGAUU
This 516-nucleotide ribosomal RNA is filed under the name uncultured bacterium. RNAcentral's name for it is "bacterial SSU rRNA". It matches the Rfam family "Bacterial small subunit ribosomal RNA", at positions 365 to 895 of the family's 1533-position model. The record is from RNAcentral.